RNAcentral lists this ribosomal RNA (735 nucleotides) under Funneliformis mosseae. RNAcentral describes it as "eukaryotic LSU rRNA". It matches the Rfam family "Eukaryotic large subunit ribosomal RNA", at positions 72 to 649 of the family's 3401-position model. Lineage: Eukaryota; Fungi; Glomeromycota; Glomeromycetes; Glomerales; Glomeraceae. The record is from RNAcentral.
AGAUUCCCUCAGUAACGGCGAGCGAAGAGGGAUAAGCUCAAAUUUUAAAUCUGUUGGGUUUCACUUAACAGAGUUGUAUUUUGAAGAAACGUUUUCUGCGUCCAGGAUUAGCCUAAAUCCUUUGGGAUAAGGUAUCAUGGAGGGUGAGAAUCCCGUUCAUGGUUAAUCUUAAGGAAGCUCUACGAUACGUUUUCCAAGAGUCGAGUUGUUUGGGAUUGCAGCUCAAAAUGGGAGGUAAAUUUCUCCUAAGGCUAAAUAUUGGCGAGAGACCGAUAGCGAACAAGUACCGUGAGGGAAAGAUGAAAAGAACUUUGAAAAGAGAGUUAAACAGUACGUGAAAUUGUUGAAAGGGAAACGAUUGAAGUCAGUCAUACCAACGGGAAAUCAACCUUUUGAGCUCGGUCUCGUGGGUUUUGAAGAGUUUCAAAGCCUUCGGAUUCGCGGGAUUGGGAUCUCUCGGUGUACUUUUUCGUACGGUUAGUCAACAUCGGUUUUGAAUGUCAUAAAAUGACUGGAGGAAUGUAGCUUCGAUCUCGCUAUUGAAGUGUUAUAGCCUUUGGUAGAUGUGAUGUUUGAGACCGAGGAUUGCAACGGAUACCCUUCAGGGCUAUUCGUCUGAUCUCUGAUACGUUGCCUUGAUGUUGAAAGCUUGCUUAUGAUGUUAGGGUAUUACGGUCAAAAGGUUAGAACGAAUUACAUUCGUUAAGGAUGUUGACGUAAUGACUUUAAACGACC